ACUCAUUUUCUAAGGUUCCCUUUUCCCUUACCUUUUCCACAAUUCAUUCUUCCAUUCAAUGCCUCUGUUAUAGUUUUACCUUCUUUUUCUUUCUCUUCUUUCGUUUUGAGUUGGGGGGUCUUUGUUGUUUUCAAUCUUUGUUGCUUGGAGGUUUUUGGGGAAUUUACUGAAAUGGAUUUUGUUUGGAUCUUUGUUGGGUGUCUUUGAUUUGUUUUUGUGGCCUAUAUGGAGUGAAAAUAUUGAGUUGGGUUGUGCCUUUUCAUUGUGUGUAGCGAGAAUUUUGAUAUUGUGUUAUUGUAUACUUGUAUUGACUAUGGAAUAUAACAACAACAAAUGAGAAUUUGGAGUGAAAAUAUUGUAUGAUUUCAAUUCCAUGUUUCAAUGUCUUGCAUUUUGCUUCCCAUUGGCUUUGGUCAAAGAGAAGAGAGUAUAUAUAACAGGGCCACAGCCACAAGUUUUAAAGUUAUGUUUUCUGGUUAAACUUUCAUUUGGGAUUUUCUAACUUGUAAUGUAAUGUAAUGCUCACCUUUCCAUUCCCUACUAUUAUGUUACUUGUCCUAUUACUUUACUAAUUUAGGCCUUUAACAUUUUGUUCAUUGUUCCUUUUUCUAUGGUUGAGAAUAGGUCACUACUUGUGCUUGUUCUAUUUCACUCAUUCUUCAUUAUUCUUACGAAGCUUAUUUAUUCAUUAAAAAAAAGAUUUUGUGGUCACCGAUUCAUGCUUUUUUAUGGAUCACCUGAAAGGAGAGAAACAAUCACCGUUUCAAUGAAAAGGAAAACUCUUUCAACAAAUUUUUCAAAUGUACAUCUUCAUAUAGUUCUUAUGAUCUUUCAUCUCUUUUGAUCCAUUGAAGAAGUCUUUUGUAACUCCUUUGGUUUGGGCACAUGUCCUUCUUUUGUAAAUUUCAUACAUCAAUAAAAUUUAUUUCUUAUUAGAAAAAAAAAACCCUUUUUGCUGUUGAGGUGGUGGUGGGGGAAGAUUUGAGUAGAUGUAGUAAUCAAAAGGAGCAAUCUCUAUGCUAUGAUGCUCUUAUGUUUUAAAGGAUGGUAUUUUACAUAUAUAUUUUUUUAAUGUCAAAUAUUGUAGAGUUUGAUGGUUGCCUCACAGGGUUAGACAACGUGCACAAUGUGUGCAACGAAUAUUUUAACUGGAAGAUCCCUACUUAACGGUUGAUUUGUGUUGGACUUCAUCAGCCCUUUCCUUUAUAUAUGUUCUCUUUUCAGUUCAACCUUUUUAAUUAAAUUCUUUUAAGCUAUUUGCAGGGACCUGUAUUUUUAGACCUCUCUAAUGGUUACUUAUCCACAACAUUGUCAAUUUAAGGUUAAGUUUUCGAUGCUUUGAAACAAGUUUCAUUUCAUUUUGACUUUGUACUGCCUUAUUGAUUUCUCUCUUUUUUAUCUCUCUUUUUAGAUCUUUUAUAUAUAGGAUGUUUACAAUUUUGUUGAGAGAUAAAAGUAAGAUAAAAUGCCACUUUUACUUUAAAUAGUUAUUGUUUUAAUACUUUUCAACAUACUUGAGGAAGAAGGGGAUGUCAUAAUCAAGCAUGGAACAUAAUCAUGAGAGAGUCGGUAUGCUACAACACACAUGGGAUUCACACAUCUCAGUUCAAGAAGAUUUGGAAGGAAGAUAGGAAGGUUGCAUUGGACAUAUUUUAAGAAGGUUGAUAAGUGGAGAAGGUGCAUCUAACACAAAAGGGACUUCAUAACAAUAUUAAUAACAAAUACAAGAAAGUCAUGCUUUCGAUUUGGAUCAAAUCUAUGGUGGGUGGUAGAGAGAACAUGACGAAGGAGCAAUUGAAAGACUAUUUGGAAAAUAUAUAAUGGCAACAAGUGUGUGUGCAUUUUUGUUUUGUUUGGAUCUAACAAAAUUUUAAUUUUGCUAUGUAACCCUUAUGAGUUUUGGUAAUUUGUUGAUUAUCUUGGUUUUAGAGUUAAAUUAUCAUCCAAUUCCUCUCUUGUGACUUAUUAUUAUGGAUUUAUGAAAGCAAUUAAGAAUUUAUUUUGUGCA
Benincasa hispida (wax gourd) is the source of this 2008-nucleotide non-coding RNA. NCBI's taxonomy places the organism in Eukaryota, Viridiplantae, Streptophyta, Magnoliopsida, Cucurbitales, Cucurbitaceae. The record is from RefSeq and is a predicted model, not a curated record.